RNAcentral lists this ribosomal RNA (492 nucleotides) under uncultured bacterium. RNAcentral describes it as "partial 16S ribosomal RNA". It matches the Rfam family "Bacterial small subunit ribosomal RNA", at positions 29 to 507 of the family's 1533-position model. The record is from RNAcentral.
AGUGAACGCUGGCGGUAGGCCUAACACAUGCAAGUCGAACGGCAGCACAGUAAGAGCUUGCUCUUACGGGUGGCGAGUGGCGGACGGGUGAGGAAUACAUCGGAAUCUACUUUUUCGUGGGGGAUAACGUAGGGAAACUUACGCUAAUACCGCAUACGACCUACGGGUGAAAGCAGGGGAUCUUCGGACCUUGCGCGAUUGAAUGAGCCGAUGUCGGAUUAGCUAGUUGGCGGGGUAAAGGCCCACCAAGGCGACGAUCCGCAGCUGGUCUGAGAGGAUGAUCAGCCACACUGGAACUGAGACACGGUCCAGACUCCUACGGGAGUCAGCAGUGGGGAAUAUUGGACAAUGGGCGCAAGCCUGAUCCAGCCAUACCGCGUGGGUGAAGAAGGCCUUCGGGUUGUAAAGCCCUUUUGUUGGGAAAGAAAAGCAGCAGGUUAAUACCCCGCUGUUCUGACGGUACCCAAAGAAUAAGCACCGGCUAACUUCGUG